GUAUAGAGGCCUUGGAAGCCGGGCUGACAAAUUUGACCCAUCAUUUUGGGUAAGAGGGAGCUGCUGUGGCUUUAAGAUGGGAAGAAGAGAAAGAAGUAGAAAUCUGCCGUGCAAUCCAGACCUGAGAUAAAGAAGACACGGUCCCAGGUGGAGGCAGGGGUGGUGUGGAAGACAUGGCUAGGUGAGGAGCUAUUUGUAAAGACAGACUUAGAGAUGACGAAGCAAAGAUGAGCUGGUUGGAAAGGGCACUGACUAGGGCCCCUACAGGGAGUGACAAGGCAUCUUUUGGACAAAGUCCAUUGGUGAACUCUGGAAGAAGCCAGCUGCAUCUGAUCUGUCCUCGAAUCCCUGAGGCCGAGCCUGGUGCCCAGAACAUAGAACAAGCUCGGGAUACAUGUCCCAGGCUUGAGCGGAAGGGAGGCAAGUUGAGGGUUUUGGUGAUGCAGCCUGGAGGCUGUGCACCACAGGAGGUCCACAGCAAGACUGUGAGUGACCCUGUGGGAGAGGACAGUCGUGUGCUUCCCUCCUGGGGUUGCAGAGGAAGCACAACCAAGCCAGGAGUCCGAAGAGGAGCAGCACAAAGAUGGAAUGGAAGUCAGGGAAUUUCUCAUUGCUGGGAACUAAAUGACUGAUUUAAGGAAGGCCGGAUGGUUGAGCAUCUGAGGACACAGAGACUCACAUAACUACAUCUCGGGAUCCUCCGGGUACUACGUUAACUCUCAGGCUUGGUUUUUGGACUUUCCAGAUGCAACACUCAACUCGAUGACUGAAUCUCCCAUCUUUCCCCAACUGCCAGGUCCUCAGCCUGAGAGAGAGACAGCCCCUACAGCAAUUUCUUCCUCACUGCUCUGGACAUCAGCCCCGUGUGAGUCACCUAGCACCCGACCCUGGCAGGUCCCAAUCCAGGAGGAGGCAAUGACCACACAGCAUGUCAGAUGCUAGGUGGAAAGAGCAAGGUGGAACAAGUGGGGUAGGGGCAGGGCCACAGAGAGAAUGUCGUGGAUGGCUUCCUGGCUGACAGGACGUGAGUGAGUCCUCCUGACUGUUGAAUAAAAGAAGUCCAGUGAAGAAGGUGGUGGAGGAGAUGAACAUGGAUAUGGACGAUGAUGACUGGGCCACGAGGAAGGUCACCAGAGAGCCCAGGAUGAGAUUCAGCCAUAUGCCUAGGGAAAGGUUCCUUCCACCAGUGAAACCUGCACUGGAGGAGACAGAGCAGGAGAGCAGAGGGCUGGGUUGACCCAGAAGUGGGGCUUUUCUGGACAUUAAGGGAGGCUGAUAGGGCAGGAGCAAGGCUGUGAGAAGUCUGGCAGACUAGGAAAUCAUGGAAAGGUUACGAGGGUCAUUUAUGGGUGGCUUCCAGGUAGGUGGCACUUUGGUCCCUGUUUUCUGCCAAUAUCCUCCAUAUUUUCCUCUGAGUAAUUGCCUUUUUCCUAUUUUCAAUCUUUGUCCUUUGGUGGAGUUGACUCCACCAAGGGUGGGGUCUUGGUGCCACUCAGGCACCUUACACUGUGGUGUAAGGAGCUGCCUCUCUCUUCCUCUGUUUGGGGCUGUGGCAUUAGAAUGUGAGUUAUGGGAGCUGCUCUCGCCAUUUGCAACCACAGGGUGUGCACAGGGGUGGCUGGAGGUGAUGCCAUAGAAAGAAUGAAGGUGGAGCUUCCCUUCAGGGCACUCCCUGUCCAGGUAUACAGAACCCAUCAUUGAGAUAUCAAAUAGCUGCAUCAAAACUUGCCUGAAGUGUGUUUGUUCCCCUGUUCUUUUGCCAAAUGGAGCUAGGCAGGCGGCAUACCCCACCCUCCCGGGCUCAGCAAUUGGUCCUCAAGAGCUGGGUGCUUCACUUAAGUUCUUCUUUCAGUGGUUGCCAAGGACAUUGGAAAAGAGAGUUCACAUAUUCUCAAAGGAGAAAGAACUUAAGAACCAUGGGAUCCUGGACCUGCCAGUAGCCAUCUCUGCCUCCUGGACCACGUGAUCCUCGACCUGCCAGUAGCCAUCUCUGGGUCCUGGACCAUGUCAUCCUGGACCCGCUAGUAGUCAUCUCUGCCUUCUGGAUCAUGUGAUCCUGGACCCUCCAGUAGUCAUCUCUACCUCUUGAACCAUGUGAGUCUGAACCCACUAAUAGCCUUCUCUGCUUCCUGAACCAUGUGAUCCUGGACCUGCCAAUAGUUAUCUCUGCCUCCUGGACCAUGUGAUGCUGAAUCCGCAAAUAGUCAUCUCUGCCUCCUGAACCAUGUGAUGCUGGACCUGCCAAUAGUCAUCUCUGCUUCCUGUGGACAGAUCCAGAUGGAUAAUGAAAACUAUGCAGAGGAAAGUUCAGUAGAGUGAGGGAGACCGCGUGAGUCGAUAAACACCCUCUGUGCUUCAGUUAUUUUGAGUUGGGUUUUCUGUUACUUGAAACAAAUCUGUCCAAAUAAUAUGCUUAGACUGGAGCAGUUGUGAAGUCCAGAGUGGGAGGCAGAAUGUGGGUGAUGGGGAGGGAAUAAGGACUUACCUGGGGUUUCAUCAUUGCCUGGAAAGGUUGUGAAUUUGGGUCUUGUUCACUCCCAGGCGUGACUGCUGCGCAGCUCACCAGCCUGGCUGUACAUUGCCAUGCCAGGUACCGCACUGGUGAUUAAGAUUCAGGGGCAGACUCCCACUUUCCAAAUGAGGAUUUUCUCCUCUUUUAUGCAUACUCAUCCACAAACUCCAAAAAAAGUUUCAUCUAUAGAUGUGAAAAUUCAAUCUGAGUAUGGUGCCCAUAUUGAAUCAACACAGCUGGGGUUAAUUAGAAUUUGGAAACAAGAAUGAUUUGUUCUAAUAAUGAUCAUGAUGCUGUCAUUUUCCAAGUGACCAAAAUCUACUAAUUUUAUCUUGAACCAAGGAAUAAAAGGUAUAUUCUAAAUGUAUCCUGCCCCUCAGCUUUGUGAAAAAAUUAAGAUGUACUUAUCUUGAUUAAACAUUGGUUUAUCUUUUGGUAACUAUCUUGAAAUGCAAAUAAAACUUGAUAGAGAGUUA
Molecule: long non-coding RNA, 2988 nt
Filed under: Homo sapiens (human)
Lineage: Eukaryota; Metazoa; Chordata; Mammalia; Primates; Hominidae
Description: HSALNT0360577
Source: RNAcentral